UCUCCGAUUUUCUCUCUCCAUCGUCUCAGAUUUCAGCUCUUGGAGCGGUUUCGUCCUUCGGUCAGUUAUGACUAACGAAAACGAUUCUGGUGCAAGUGGAAGUUGAGUACGGUUCUUGUGCUUUUGGUCUCCCCUCGGCUGGGAUUUGGAGGGAUCUGUCGACAGAGCUCCACAAUCUCUGUAGUCUGAUGCCAUCAUAAACCCAAACCCUUUGCAACUUUCUACAUUUUGCUCAAUUUUAAUGGCAUCAACUAGCAAAAUGCCUAGCACUUCUGAGGAUGAUCUAGAAGAGGAGGUAUUUUUCCAGUGGCUGGUACAUUUGUUCUUUAACUAUCAUUGUUAGCAGCACUAUAAUAUUUAGUCGAAGAAAUCAUGAUGUCAGGCACAACAUCAGAGAGCUACAUAGUAUCAAGAUAUUGUUAGAUCGACAAUAAUGUUGCAAGGCCUGUUCAGUUUUCUGAAAAGUAUUUUACUAUUACAAACUAAGGGUGUGUUUGGCAUAACGAAAAUGUUUUCCGUGCAAAAUGUUUUCUUGGAAAACAUGUAAUAAUUUUAUUCAUUUUCUGGUAUUUGGUACACUUAAGGAAAAUAACUUCUCAAGAGUAUUCAUAAAUAAUUUAGAUAUAAUAAACAUGAAGCCAUAAACUUUCGAACCAACAACCUUCCGAACUCACAAAUUUAUAAACUUCCGAGCCGCUAAACUUUCGAAACCGGGAACUUUCGAACCCGUAAACUUUAUAAACCCAUAAACUUCCAAACUCUAACUUUGUAACUUGUAAAAUUUCGAACCUGUACAUCGAAACAUGAAAAAAUUAAAAGUAUAUAAAAAAUAUUUUCUUUUUUCGGGGGGUGGGGUGUACAUAAAACAAAAAACCGAAAUUUGAAAUUACAAAAAAAACAGAAAUUUGAAAAUUACAAAAUAAAAAAAGUAAAAAGAAACCCCUUUUUUGUGCAGGGUGGGGGGGCAGUGGGGGUGGGGUUUGGCGGGGUGGGGGAUGGUGGUGCAAAAAAAAUAAAAAAAACAGAAAAUUGAAAUUACAAAAAAAAAAUUAAAAAAAAAUAAUUUUUUCGGGGGUGGGGUGGAUGAUAGUAGGCUAGGUGGUGACGGAAAUAAAAAUUGAAAUUUGAAAGAAAAGCCUUUUUGGAGAGAGGGGGUGGUGGGUAGGCGUGGGCAUGGGUGUGAGGGUGUGGGUUGGUGAGGAUAGAGAAUAGGGUGAGGAAGGUUGAGAAAGUUUUGGAAAAUGUUUUCCUUCUCUUGAUAAGGAAAACAUUUUCCUUCAAUUGAAGAAAAAUGAGUUCAUAAGGGAAAUGUUUUCCAAAACAUUUAAGCCAACCAAAAAUGUGAAAAUUGGAAAAUAUUUUCCGGAAAAUAUUUUCCAAUUUUCACAUGACACACCCUAAAUCAUCUAUUCAACCAAAAGCUUACACUCAAUUGAAAUACAAACUCAAAUACAAUAAGCACCAAAUAAAUGCAACUCAGAACAUGUAGAUUACACAUGGUAGGUCGAGAUUUCUGAACUUCAAAUUAGGCGUUUCUACGAUUUAAAUUUUCAUGAGAGCUUCUGUUGUGGUCGUAAUGUUGUUGAAGUUUUGUCUAUGUAAAGCUCACUCUUAUAUCCUUCUCAAAUAUAAUAAUUCUGGUUGUCCUUGUGGUUGUAGCAGCAUGCAACCUACAAUAACACUAUCAGUAUUUAAGCAUUAUGGCACUAUUCAACUCCCAGAUGUAUUUGAAGACAGAUUACAAAAGAACAUGUAAAUAUGAGAAACACUAUAAAAAAUAUUGUAUUUCAAAUCACUGCUCCUACAAAUCAUGACAAUUCUUGCUCAUAGCCAUGAUAUUCCUCCAGGACUCACGACGGUAAUCUCAUUUCAUACUCAUGCCAUUACAAAUUUGUAGUGGUUGUGUUGUAUGCUCCGAAAACCAUAGAGGUUUGAGCUUCCUUGAGGUUAUCACCUUCUUUGCAAGUCUCUCCCUCUUUCCUUAUACAAUAAUCAAAGCAUGCUGAACAAAGUUUAAGAAAGUUGGACUGAAGAGAUUAUCAAUCAACAAAAUAGAAUCAACAAAAAGUGGAAAAAGAGGUCAAUGAGAGACUUUGAAUCUGUUUUAAAGGUUAUUAUGCUUAUACAUAAUAAUUUUGGUUCCAAUGGUCGGUGCACUAUUUUCAGUCUGUAAAAUAUUCUACAGUUCUUCUAUUUGCUCUACUUUAGCUUCCACAAUAUCUGAAAUUUGAUAAAACAUUCCAGAAACAAAAGAGAUACAAAACUCAAGUCCCACAAAUCAGAAUAAAGGAUGUCAACAAGAACAUCAAAUAUGCAAAUAAAAUAUCCUUUAUGUGCAAGGAGAAAACGAAGAACGACAAGUCAUUAAAGACAACUUUUGUGUUAGCCAAAUAAACAAACGCAUACCUUUUUCAAGUCAUCAGCUAAUAUCAAAGAACUUCCACUUAUUCAUGUGACCGAAGCUCGUCGUUAGUAGGCAAAAGCCCUUCACUUCAAAACAAUCAAUCAGGACUGACGCCAUCUUCGCUUCUUCUGAUUAUUGAAAGUGAACGUUAAAGCUUUGAAGCAAAUCUUCAAGCAUUCCUUUCAAGUCAGCUAAUCAAAUAUAAUUUUUAUUCCCAAAUGCUCCAAAAAAGAAUCUGAUAACAGUCCUAGGCAAUAGGGCACUAAAUCUCUCCAUAUAAACUACAAAGAGAAUGACACCUAUUUGCAAGAAAGAAAAGUCUCAUAUAUUUCUAACAUCCAUGUAAAAUUCUAUUGUGGAUAUUAACUUAUCUUUUCAUCAAUCAUCUUAAUAUAUGAUAUGUACUCAAAUAGGUUAGCAGACACAUUUUAUCUAAACAAUACUACUCAUAAAGUGAUAUGCACAAGUAUUAUUUGUUCAAAAGAAUGAAAAGUUCUUCCAACUAUUAGCAAUAACUACUGCACCCAAUCUUUCUUGCAGCUUGGUUGAACAUUAAGCAUACCUUGCUAUAGCAAAUUACAAAAGGUAACGAUAUCUUUGCCAUAAAAAGAAGUCCUUGCCCUUCUGUUCUUAUUAUAGAAAUUAAAUAAGUUAAAGCUUGAUGCAAAGCUCAGUACAUAGAAAUUAGUUAUUCCACUCUUGAGAUGUCAAUCAAGAAACAGGAACAUUGUACACUGAUUCUUCAGCUUUUAAACUCCAAUAGCAAAGCAUGAAGACAGACAGAGACAACCCUAGUUGUAGCCAAAACUAUAAUUUUUGACCAGAUUUUAGCUCAGUACAAAGUGAUAAUUUUUGACCAGAUUUUAGCUCAGUACAAAGUGAUCCUUAUAUGGAUAUAUAUGUAGAGAGCAUAUGACAGUGGACAGAGAAAUUACUCUCCCACAUAAGUACUCCAAAAACAACUGAUAAUAGAUUCCAUCUUGCACGCAAUUCAGUUGGGUAAUGGAAAUUAUAAAAGAAUAAGACAAAAAGGAAAGAGCUACCAACGCAAUUCAAAAAAUGACUUCAAAACUAAGGUGUUAAAGAGCUGUCAAGGCGUCAAAAAACCACCACUGUUUUUUUUUCUUCCUUUUGAUAGGUAAAGACAAUCACACAGUUAAUAAACCCUCAUCCAUGCAAAUCAUUACGAUAUAUGAGAAAAAAACACAUAAAAGAGUGAAAUUUUUCAUCAAAUGCGAAGAGUAUAAAAUAAGUGGCAAAGACAGAGUGUGACAUUCAUCGAGAGACCAACUUCACCAGAAAUAUUGAGAAUGAAAUGUUAUUGAAAUAAAUUGAUGAAGCACCAACUGUGCCCAUUGUGAUUCAACACAGUUAUUCAGGAGUUNNNNNNNNNNNNNNNNNNNNNNNNNNNNNNNNNNNNNNNNNNNNNNNNNNNNNNNNNNNNNNNNNNNNNNNNNNNNNNNNNNNNNNNNNNNNNNNNNNNNNNNNNNNNNNNNNNNNNNNAGGACUUUCAGACUAAGGAUCUGGGCAGAUUAAAGUAUUUUCUAAGUAUUGAGGUCGCUCAGUCUAGCUCAGGUAUUGUGAUUUCACAAUGGAAGUAUGCCUUAGAUAUUCUUGAGGAGACAGGAAUGAUAGGUUGUAGACCUGUUGACACUUCGAUGAAUCCGAAUUCUAAACUUCUGCCAGGACAGGGGGAGCCUUUUAGCGAUCCUGCAAGAUAUAGGCGGUUGGUUGGUAAAUUAAAUUACCUCACAGUAACUAGACCUGACAUUUCCUUUCAUGUGAGUGUUGUGAGUCAGUUUAUGGAUUCUCCCUGUGAUAGUCAUUGGGAUGCAGUUGUCCGCAUUCUUCGGUAUAUAAAAUCAGCUCCAGGCGAAGGCUUAUUGUUUGAGGAUCGAGGCCAUGAGCAGAUCGUUGGAUGCUCAGAUGCUGAUUUGGCAGGGUCACUUUCUGAUAGACGUUCUACGUCUAGAUAUUGUGUCUUAGUAGGAGGAAAUUUGGUGUCUUGGAAGAGCAAGAAACAGAAUGUGGUUGCUCGGUCUAGUGCAGAAGCAGAAUAUUGAGCAAUGGCUAUGGCCACAUGUGAGUUAGUUUGGAUCAAACAGUUGCUCAAGGAGUUGAAAUUUGGUGAGAUUAGUCAGAUGGGACCUGUGUGUGAUAAUAAAACUGCUCUUCAUAUUGCGUCAAAUCCAGUGUUUCAUAAGAGAACUAAACACAUCGAGAUUGACUAUCACUUUGUUAGAGAAAAGAUACUCUCGGGAGAUAUUGCUACAAAAUUUGUGAAAUCGAAUGAUCAGCUUGCUGAUAUUUUCACCAAGUCCCUCACUGGUCCUCGUAUUAGUUAUUAGUUAUAUAUGUAACAAGCCCGGUACAUAUGAUUUAUAUGCACCAGUUUGAGGGGGAGUGUUAGUUUCAUUGUAUAAAUAGUAGUAAAUAACCCUAAUCCUAUGUGUAUUAGGAGUAGGGCGUGUAUUGUAUAUAUAAGGCUCAUUGUAUUAUUGUCAUUUUUAAUCAAUAAUAUAUUUUUUCCCGUGCUUUCUCACAAUGAGGAUGCUGAGAUGGAUGUGCGGGCACACCAGAUUAGAUAGAAUUAGGAAUGAAGUUAUUGGGGAUAAGAUGAGUGUGGCUCCUAUUGAGGACAAGAUGCGGGAAGCGCGACUUAGAUGGUUUGGACAUGUGAGGAGGAGAAAUACAGAUGCCCCAGUAAGGAGGUGUGAGAGAUUGAUAUUGGAGGGCCUCAGGAGAGGUAGAGGUAGGCCGAAGAAGAGUUGGGAUGAGGUGAUUAGGCAUGACAUGGCGCAACUACAGCUGACCAAGGACAUGACCCGUGAUAGGAAGGUGUGGAGGUCGAAGAUUAGGAUAGUAGGUUAGGUAGUCUAGUACAGUAGGUUAUUCAUACCGGUAGUGUUAGUACGUACUCUCGCAUUAGCUUUUUGCAUUUCGAUCAUCUUACUAUCUUGUUAUGUAUGCUGCUUUUACAUGGUUUUUUGGUGUUGUCCCGUCUUGUUUCUUGUUAUUAUUGGGGAACCUAUGCUUGCCUAAGCCGAGGGUCUAUUGGAAACAGCCUCUCUACCUCCACAAGGUAGGGGUAAGGUCUGCGUACACACUACCCUCCCCGGACCCUACUAUGUGGGAUUAUACUGGGUAUGUUGUUGUUGUUAUUGUUUCCUCUCACCCAAAAGGUCAAUUCAUUUCAAUUUCACGCCCGUUUUCUUUGUAAUUUGAAGCUAUCAAGGAGAAGCGGAUGAAAUCAAUAGUUUGGUAUUCGUAUUAUGUAGCAAAAUAUCACCUUCUAAAUCACGUGAAAAUUGUUUUAUGCUUUAACAGUUAACGAGCAACAUUAUGAAACAUUACUGUCUAAGAACUCGCA
Molecule: long non-coding RNA, 5774 nt
Filed under: Nicotiana tabacum (common tobacco)
Lineage: Eukaryota; Viridiplantae; Streptophyta; Magnoliopsida; Solanales; Solanaceae
Description: long non-coding RNA (NTAB_LNC019598)
Source: RNAcentral